This 253-nucleotide ribosomal RNA is filed under the name uncultured bacterium. Its description in RNAcentral is "partial 16S ribosomal RNA". It matches the Rfam family "Bacterial small subunit ribosomal RNA", at positions 524 to 776 of the family's 1533-position model. The record is from RNAcentral.
UACGUGGGGUGCGAGCGUUAAUCGGAAUUACUGGGCGUAAAGGGUGUGCAGGCGGCCGAGCAAGUCGGGCGUGAAAGCCCCGGGCUUAACUUGGGAAUUGCGCUCGAAACUACGUGGCUGGAGUGUGGCAGAGGAAUGUGGAAUUCCAGGUGUAGCGGUGAAAUGCGUAGAGAUCUGGAGGAACACCGAUGGCGAAGGCAGCCUUCUGGGCCAACACUGACGCUCAUGCACGAAAGCGUGGGGAGCAAACAGG